GGGGACUCUUAUUCCUUAAGCAUUAGAUUUCUGAUUUGAAACCUAGUGCUCCUUUAUUACUCACAAUGAAGGCCAAGAAAAGUGUAUGACAGAAAUUCCUUCCCCAUCCAUCACCAUAGGUUCAGCUUCCAGGAACACCGUCACUUCCAGAACCAACUGCUCAGAGCCUGAAUGCAGAGACCAAACCCAACUCCAACACAUCUUCCAGCUAUUCUCAGACAUGGAGAUGUGCGCAACCCAAAGCUGACUUCCCUACAGCAUGAUUCCCCUGUCAGCAGUUUCUCACACACUAAAGAGUCUUAGAAUGGUCCACAACAGAAGAGACUGUCAGGUAUAUGGAGAAGAAAAGAGAUACUGGAACAG
Gallus gallus (chicken) is the source of this 363-nucleotide long non-coding RNA. Lineage: Eukaryota; Metazoa; Chordata; Aves; Galliformes; Phasianidae. The record is from Ensembl.